AUCUCAUAAAUCUAAUUUUCAAUAUGGUCAACAAACAAACGCUUCCUACCAUGUUCAUUCAUUCAUAAUUCAUUCAAUUUGAUUAUUACUUGUAGCAGAGAAAAUUAUUAUUUAAUUAAAACCAAAACACAUCUCAACAAACCUGUUACUGUUUCAUUAGGAAUUUGGUGGCACCAACUUUCUCCAUCAACAACGUCCAUCUUUGACUUCU
RNAcentral lists this long non-coding RNA (211 nucleotides) under Trifolium pratense (red clover). RNAcentral's name for it is "long non-coding RNA (TPRA_LNC004631)". Lineage: Eukaryota; Viridiplantae; Streptophyta; Magnoliopsida; Fabales; Fabaceae. The record is from RNAcentral.